Molecule: transfer RNA, 75 nt
Filed under: Microcaldota archaeon
Lineage: Archaea; Nanobdellati; Microcaldota
Description: Candidatus Micrarchaeota archaeon (hot springs metagenome) tRNA-Glu
Rfam family: tRNA
About the family: Transfer RNA (tRNA) molecules are approximately 80 nucleotides in length.
Source: RNAcentral
GCUCCGAUCAUCUAGUCCGGUCAAGGAUGCAGGCCUCUCAAGCCUGAAACCCGGGUUCAAAUCCCGGUCGGAGCA